Molecule: ribosomal RNA, 475 nt
Filed under: uncultured organism
Description: partial 16S ribosomal RNA
Rfam family: Bacterial small subunit ribosomal RNA
Source: RNAcentral
CACUCCUGCGGGAGGCAGCAGUGGGGAAUUUUGGACAAUGGGCGAAAGCCUGAUCCAGCCAUGCCGCGUGCAGGAUGAAGGCCUUCGGGUUGUAAACUGCUUUUGUACGGAACGAAACGGCCUUUUCUAAUAAAGAGGGCUAAUGACGGUACCGUAAGAAUAAGCACCGGCUAACUACGUGCCAGCAGCCGCGGUAAUACGUAGGGUGCAAGCGUUAAUCGGAAUUACUGGGCGUAAAGCGUGCGCAGGCGGUUAUGUAAGACAGUUGUGAAAUCCCCGGGCUCAACCUGGGAACUGCAUCUGUGACUGCAUAGCUAGAGGACGGUAGAGGGGGAUGGAAUUCCGCGUGUAGCAGUGAAAUGCGUAGAUAUGCGGAGGAACACCGAUGGCGAAGGCAAUCCCCUGGACCUGUACUGACGCUCAUGCACGAAAGCGUGGGGAGCAAACAGGAUUAGAUACCCCAGUAGUCCCAUGA